RNAcentral lists this ribosomal RNA (1421 nucleotides) under uncultured organism. Its description in RNAcentral is "16S ribosomal RNA". It matches the Rfam family "Bacterial small subunit ribosomal RNA". The record is from RNAcentral.
GAUGAACGCUGGCGGCGUGCUUAACACAUGCAAGUCGAGCGAUGAAGUUUCCUUCGGGAAGCGGAUUAGCGGCGGACGGGUGAGUAACACGUGGGUAACCUGCCUCAUAGAGUGGAAUAGCCUUCCGAAAGGAAGAUUAAUACCGCAUAAUGUUGAAAGAUGGCAUCAUCAUUCAACCAAAGGAGCAAUCCGAUAUGAGAUGGACCCGCGGCGCAUUAGCUAGUUGGUGGGGUAACGGCCUACCAAGGCGACGAUGCGUAGCCGACCUGAGAGGGUGAUCGGCCACAUUGGGACUGAGACACGGCCCAGACUCCUACGGGAGGCAGCAGUGGGGAAUAUUGCACAAUGGGGGAAACCCUGAUGCAGCAACGCCGCGUGAGUGAUGAAGGUUUUCGGAUCGUAAAGCUCUGUCUUUGGGGAAGAUAAUGACGGUACCCAAGGAGGAAGCCACGGCUAACUACGUGCCAGCAGCCGCGGUAAUACGUAGGUGGCGAGCGUUAUCCGGAUUUACUGGGCGUAAAGGGAGCGUAGGCGGAUGAUUAAGUGGGAUGUGAAAUACCCGGGCUCAACUUGGGUGCUGCAUUCCAAACUGGUUAUCUAGAGUGCAGGAGAGGAGAGUGGAAUUCCUAGUGUAGCGGUGAAAUGCGUAGAGAUUAGGAAGAACACCAGUGGCGAAGGCGACUCUCUGGACUGUAACUGACGCUGAGGCUCGAAAGCGUGGGGAGCAAACAGGAUUAGAUACCCUGGUAGUCCACGCCGUAAACGAUGGAUACUAGGUGUGGGGGUUUCAACACCUCCGUGCCGCCGCUAACGCAUUAAGUAUUCCGCCUGGGGAGUACGGUCGCAAGAUUAAAACUCAAAGGAAUUGACGGGGACCCGCACAAGUAGCGGAGCAUGCGGUUUAAUUCGAAGCAACGCGAAGAACCUUACCUACACUUGACAUCCCUUGCAUUACUCUUAAUCGAGGAAAUCCCUUCGGGGACAAGGUGACAGGUGGUGCAUGGUUGUCGUCAGCUCGUGUCGUGAGAUGUUGGGUUAAGUCCCGCAACGAGCGCAACCCUUGUCGUUAGUUACUACCAUUAAGUUGAGGACUCUAGCGAGACUGCCUGGGUUAACCAGGAGGAAGGUGGGGAUGACGUCAAAUCAUCAUGCCCCUUAUGUGUAGGGCUACACACGUGCUACAAUGGCUGGUACAGAGAGAUGCAAUACCGCGAGGUGGAGCCAAACUUAAAAACCAGUCUCAGUUCGGAUUGUAGGCUGAAACUCGCCUACAUGAAGCUGGAGUUACUAGUAAUCGCGAAUCAGAAUGUCGCGGUGAAUACGUUCCCGGGUCUUGUACACACCGCCCGUCACACCAUGAGAGUUGGCAAUACCCGAAGUCCGUGAGCUAACCGCAAGGAGGCAGCGGCCGAAGGUAGGGU